RNAcentral lists this ribosomal RNA (119 nucleotides) under Pteropus alecto (black flying fox). Lineage: Eukaryota; Metazoa; Chordata; Mammalia; Chiroptera; Pteropodidae. The record is from RNAcentral.
GUCUACGGCCAUGCUACCCUGAACAAGCCCGAUCUCGUCUGAUCUUGGAAGCUAAGCAGGGUUGAGCUUGGUUAGUACUUGAAUGGGAGACCACCUAGGAAAACCAGAUGCUGUAGACG